Molecule: long non-coding RNA, 1048 nt
Organism: Hemicordylus capensis (graceful crag lizard)
Lineage: Eukaryota; Metazoa; Chordata; Lepidosauria; Squamata; Cordylidae
Exons: 3
Source: RefSeq, a predicted model, not a curated record
CUAUGUAGUAUCCAGGAUAGGAGGGGGAGCAUAGGCAGGGACAGUAACAUUAUUAUGUGUCUUUAACUGUGUCAGGCAAGGCAGCUAAGGAUCACAAACUCUCUGGUGGACCAUCAGAAGGCUGGUGUGGACUUCUGUAGUCAGUGCGAGCCUUGCCCCUUCCUGGUUUCUAAGUUCAGCUCUACUCCUCAGGAGGAAGCAGAGUCAUCCUCCCCCUCUCCCCAAGUAGGCUCAUUGAGAGGGAGGCCCUGAGCAGCUAAGCAAGCACUCCACCUUCAGAACUGGAACUCUGCAUUGGUGAGAGUCUCUCACAGACUCAGGGGCAAUGGAGGGCACUGUGAGGAACGAGAAGAAGGACCACUGCGGGGUGUCGGUUUCUGGUGAGAUUGUGACCAACAUAAGGUGGACUCCUACAAUGCCUUGUUCUCAAGAAAGCAUGUUGGCCCAGCUGAAUAUGCAACAUCAGAGCUUCCUACCCGAUGCAGAAAAAAGGUACAACAUCUGUAGCAAAUGAUUUAUGUCUUCUGGUUCAGGGCUUCUACAAUUAAGAAGGUGGGAUUGAGAGGCCUAGCAAGCAAGUAUUCAUGAAAUACAGGAAUCAAGAGACAUUUCAACUGACAGAGAAGUACUCCCUGGGUAUCCAUGACUAAGUCUGAUCUAAUCACACAGGUAAUUGGUGGUGAUAGUUGUGGGCAUCCAAAAUUGACUAAAUGCUACAGCUGCAUAUUUUGAAAUGACAGAGGAAGCAGAUUAAAGUCUUUCCGUAUCGUGAUUGCAGUGCAAAGGUCCUCUUCAUUAAGUUCACUAUAGUUGGAACUACUGGAAAGAAAACAAUGUACCACAUGUGAAAGGUGCUUUUAGAUGGUUGAUACCAUGCUGAAAAGAGGAGCCACACAAUGAGAUGUGUAAAGAAAAUGCUCUAGGCCCUUUUGUGAAACCAGAGUUUGUCACUACCUCUUAUUCAUACCAGUAUGCUUGAAUUAUUGUCGGUGAUUUCCAAUGAUGGGGGGAAAUGGGGAAAUGGGCGAAAUCUUGGACACUUUCUAUG